This 903-nucleotide long non-coding RNA is filed under the name Ursus maritimus (polar bear). RNAcentral describes it as "lncRNA (ENSUMAG00000006728.1)". Lineage: Eukaryota; Metazoa; Chordata; Mammalia; Carnivora; Ursidae. The record is from RNAcentral.
UUUUGGCCGUGUGGAAAGCGUGCAGUAGUGUUUGCAUCUCCCGCGCAUUUCCAGAGGAAGUCGGCGAUUUUGACGAGUUGGAACGGAUCUAUGGGGAUUGUUUAUCAAAGGCCAAGCCGUGAUUUCAGGGCUUUAGGAGAGCUACCCGCAGUGAACCUGGAACUCCUCUCUACGUCAACAAAAAUGGUAACUGGAGCAAGACCUUAACUUGCUCCUCAGAGGGUGGCUACUCUACCUUCCCUACAAAAGCAAAAAGGGAACCACAGAUGAUGAACUUUCCUUUAGACUCAUCAUGUAACUGAAAGACUUAUCAGGACCUUGAUGCUUAGAGAAAAUGUUAAAACUAGACACAUUUCCUCAUCUAUUUUCACUGAUAGCCAUUACUGGAAUAUAGCACAGUAUACGGUUCAGAUUUGUGUACCAUUUCUCCUAAUAUGGAUAUGCUGUUUGUAUUUCCAAAGGUAAGAUUUUUGUUUUGCUAAUUAAGGGUGAUAUUUUCUGUUUUUAUCCCAGGUUAAUUUCCUUCACCUUUUUAUGCUCCCUGUCUUACUUUUUUUUUCCCCCCCGUCUUAAUUUUUCAGUUGUUUGAAUUUUUAAGAAAUUUUUAGGAAUGAUAAAACUUACUUUAGGAGCAUAAAACAUUGUCACAAGGGCAGAGGAAUUGGAAUCACCUUGAAAAGACAGAGUUUUUCAUCAAAUUCCAAGUAUAGAAAUCUUUUCUCUAUUGUGAAACUUAUAUUAAGAAUAUUCAUAGACACUUAAUCUAUGUCUUUCAAAUGUUUCUUCUUUUACAUUGUUCUUCAAAGAAUUUCUAACCAUAGCAUUUCACUUGUAUCUCUUUCUCAUUUCUUUAAACAAAGUAUUUAUUGUCAUUUCAAGAACACUAGCCUGGUGGUGUAAAAU